This 253-nucleotide ribosomal RNA is filed under the name uncultured bacterium. RNAcentral describes it as "partial 16S ribosomal RNA". It matches the Rfam family "Bacterial small subunit ribosomal RNA", at positions 524 to 776 of the family's 1533-position model. The record is from RNAcentral.
UACGUAGGGGGCAAGCGUUGUCCGGAUUUAUUGGGCGUAAAGAGCGUGUAGGCGGUUAUACAGGUCCGCUGUGAAAACUCGAGGCUCAACCUCGAGACGUCGGCGGAAACCAUCUGGCUAGAGUCCGGAAGAGGAGAGUGGAAUUCCUGGUGUAGCGGUGAAAUGCGCAGAUAUCAGGAAGAACACCCGUGGCGAAGGCGGCUCUCUGGGACGGUACUGACGCUGAGACGCGAAAGCGUGGGGAGCGAACAGG